UACGGGGGGGGUAAGCGUUGUUCGGAAUUACUGGGCGUAAAGGGCUCGUAGGCGGCCAACUAAGUCAGACGUGAAAUCCCUCAGCUUAACUGGGGAACUGCGUCUGAUACUGGAUGGCUUGGAUUCGGGAGAGGAAUGCGGAAUUCCAGGUGUAGCGGUGAAAUGCGUAGAUAUCUGGAGGAACACCGGUGGCGAAGGCGGCUCUCUGGGACGGUACUGACGCUGAGACGCGAAAGCGUGGGGAGCGAACAGG
Molecule: ribosomal RNA, 253 nt
Filed under: uncultured bacterium
Lineage: Bacteria
Description: partial 16S ribosomal RNA
Rfam family: Bacterial small subunit ribosomal RNA
Source: RNAcentral